GAUGAACGCUGGCGGCGUGCCUAAUACAUGCAAGUCGAGCGAACAGACGAGGAGCUUGCUCCUCUGACGUUAGCGGCGGACGGGUGAGUAACACGUGGAUAACCUACCUAUAAGACUGGGAUAACUUCGGGAAACCGGAGCUAAUACCGGAUAAUAUAUUGAACCGCAUGGUUCAAUAGUGAAAGACGGUUUUGCUGUCACUUAUAGAUGGAUCCGCGCCGCAUUAGCUAGUUGGUAAGGUAACGGCUUACCAAGGCAACGAUGCGUAGCCGACCUGAGAGGGUGAUCGGCCACACUGGAACUGAGACACGGUCCAGACUCCUACGGGAGGUAGCAGUAGGGAAUCUUCCGCAAUGGGCGAAAGCCUGACGGAGCAACGCCGCGUGAGUGAUGAAGGUCUUCGGAUCGUAAAACUCUGUUAUUAGGGAAGAACAAAUGCGUAAGUAACUAUGCACGUCUUGACGGUACCUAAUCAGAAAGCCACGGCUAACUACGUG
Molecule: ribosomal RNA, 497 nt
Filed under: uncultured bacterium
Lineage: Bacteria
Description: partial 16S ribosomal RNA
Rfam family: Bacterial small subunit ribosomal RNA
Source: RNAcentral